RNAcentral lists this ribosomal RNA (492 nucleotides) under uncultured Sphingobacteriales bacterium. RNAcentral describes it as "bacterial SSU rRNA". It matches the Rfam family "Bacterial small subunit ribosomal RNA", at positions 887 to 1382 of the family's 1533-position model. Lineage: Bacteria; Pseudomonadati; Bacteroidota; Sphingobacteriia; Sphingobacteriales. The record is from RNAcentral.
CCCGCUACAGAAACUCAAAGGAAUUGACGGGGCCCGCACAAGCGGAGGAACAUGUGGUUUAAUUCGAUGAUACGCGACGGAACUUACCUGGGCUCAAAUGUAUGUUGACGUAUUCUGAAAGGGAUACUUCUUCGGACAAUAUACAAGGUGCUGCAUGGUUGUCGUCAGCUCGUGCCGUGAGGUGUCGGGUUAAGUCCCAUAACGAGCGCAACCCCUAUCAUUAGUUGCCAUCAGGUCAAGCUGGGGACUCUAAUGAAACUGCCUACGCAAGUAGUGAGGAAGGUGGGGAUGACGUCAAGUCAUCAUGGCCCUUACGGCCUGGGCUACACACGUGCUACAAUGGUCGGUACAAAGGGUUGCCAAGCCGCGAGGUGGAGCUAAUCCCAUAAAACCGAUCGUAGUCCGGAUCGCAGUCUGCAACUCGACUGCGUGAAGUCGGAAUCGCUAGUAAUCGUGAAUCAGAAUGUCACGGUGAAUACGUUCCCGGGCCUU